This 331-nucleotide long non-coding RNA is filed under the name Fukomys damarensis (Damara mole-rat). RNAcentral describes it as "lncRNA (ENSFDAG00000029803.1)". Lineage: Eukaryota; Metazoa; Chordata; Mammalia; Rodentia; Bathyergidae. The record is from RNAcentral.
CUGGAAUGAGUCUCCCGGGCUUCUGUGAAAAGGGACCGGGUCUGAGAGGCUUUGAACUGCCGAUGUGCUGGCCAUGACCAGAGUGCUUGUUCUCAUACGUGAGGCUCAGGGAGCCAUGUCUGGCUGCAGCCUGGCCCAGGCAUCGACAGUGGAAGUCAUCCUGGUCCAUACUACUCAUAACUUCCCAGGAACACAAGGGAACAGACCAUUGGCUGGGAAAUGAGCAGGGCGGCGCCUCCUGUUGCCUUAAACCUCCAAGUCCAACUCCAUCAUCUCCGUCUCCUCCAUCUCCUGAGGAGGGAGGAAUACAACAGGACAAUCAAUACACAAG